GGGCAUAUAGCUCAGCAGCACAGUGCCUGCCUGGCAAGCAUGAGUCAUGAGUUCAAUUCCCAUUACCA
RNAcentral lists this transfer RNA (68 nucleotides) under Cavia porcellus (domestic guinea pig). It matches the Rfam family "tRNA". Rfam says of the family: Transfer RNA (tRNA) molecules are approximately 80 nucleotides in length. Their secondary structure includes four short double-helical elements and three loops (D, anti-codon, and T loops). The record is from Rfam by way of RNAcentral. Lineage: Eukaryota; Metazoa; Chordata; Mammalia; Rodentia; Caviidae.